Molecule: long non-coding RNA, 327 nt
Filed under: Lynx pardinus (Iberian lynx)
Lineage: Eukaryota; Metazoa; Chordata; Mammalia; Carnivora; Felidae
Source: RNAcentral
AUAGUGAAGUCUGUGUCUCUUGGGGAAAGAUUUGUUUUCUGUCAUGUCGAUGACAUGGAUGACCCAAGAUGAAUAUCCAAGGACAUAUCAGAGAUAGGUCGGCAGUGGUGCAGGAAAGGAGCAAAGCCUGAUUGAGUUUAUGAAAGUUUUCCACUAAAGUCAGCAACAGCGCAAAUUCAAACCAGGCACAAGGCACUUGAAUCUCCCUAUGAGUUGUUCAUCAAAGGGCUAAAAGAAAGGAAAUCUGAGACGGACCAGGGUCUGGCCUAAAAGCUUUCAAGUGAUUCCUUUCCGUAAGGAAACUAUUUCCUUUGUGCAUGUUCAGGA